CUUUGAUCGAAAUAAUUGAAGUAGAUCAAGGCGGAAGGAG
RNAcentral lists this non-coding RNA (40 nucleotides) under unclassified sequences. The record is from RNAcentral.